CCUACGGGGGGCUGCAGUGGGGAAUUUUGGACAAUGGGCGCAAGCCUGAUCCAGCAAUGCCGCGUGCAGGAAGAAGGCCUUCGGGUUGUAAACUGCUUUUGUACGGAACGAAACGGUCUGGGUUAAUACCCUGGGCUAAUGACGGUACCGUAAGAAUAAGCACCGGCUAACUACGUGCCAGCAGCCGCGGUAAUACGUAGGGUGCAAGCGUUAAUCGGAAUUACUGGGCGUAAAGCGUGCGCAGGCGGUUUUGUAAGACAGGCGUGAAAUCCCCG
This 275-nucleotide ribosomal RNA is filed under the name uncultured Hydrogenophaga sp. Its description in RNAcentral is "partial 16S ribosomal RNA". It matches the Rfam family "Bacterial small subunit ribosomal RNA", at positions 338 to 605 of the family's 1533-position model. The record is from RNAcentral. Lineage: Bacteria; Pseudomonadati; Pseudomonadota; Betaproteobacteria; Burkholderiales; Comamonadaceae.